GCUAAACAGCUAGCUUAAAUACAUAAUAAUAAAACAACAUUAAAUUAACUAAUAUUAAAACAUACAAUAUUUACUAAAACAUUCUCCAGCCCUAGUACGGGAGACAGAAAAGGCCCACUAAAGCAAUAGAAAAAGUACCGCAAGGGAAAGCUGAAAGAGAAAUGAAACAACCCAUUAAAGCACAAAAAAGCAGAGAUUUAACCUCGUACCUUUUGCAUCAUGAUUUAGCCAGAACCUCCUGAGCAAAGAGUACUUUAGUUCAAAGCCCCGAAACCAAGCGAGCUACCUCGAGACAGCCUAUACAGGGCCAACCCAUCUCUGUGGCAAAAGAGUGGGAAGAUCUCCAGGUAGAGGUGAUAAGCCUAUCGAGCUUGGUGAUAGCUGGUUGCCUAAAAAUUGGAUAGAAGUUCAGCCUCGCACUCCUCCCAUCAAACUUAUCAUGAAUCCGAGAAAAAUGCGAGAGUUAAUCAAAGGGGGUACAGCCCCUAUGAAACAGAAUACAACCUUUCCAGGAGGUUAAGGGUCAUAGCAUCAUAAGAUCUCUGCUUCAGUGGGCCUAAAAGCAGCCACCUGUACAAAAAGCGUUAUAGCUCAAGCAGAUAAAAAUCUAUUAUUCAGACACUUCAACCCAAAACCCCUAAACCUAUUAGGCCCUUUCAUGCUCACAUGAAAAAGAUCCUGCUAAAAUGAGUAACAAGAAAAAACACCCAUUUUCUCCCAGCCCCCGUGUAAGUUAGAUCGGACCCUCCACUAACAAUUAACGAACCCAACCAAAGAGAGCACUGCAACCCUCACAAUAACCAAGAAAACCCUGCACAAAAGCAUCGUUAACCCCACACCGGAGUGCCACAAGGAAAGACUAAAAGAAAAGGAAGGAACUCGGCAAACCCUAGCCUCGCCUGUUUACCAAAAACAUCGCCUCCCGCAAAUCAAUAUAUAGGAGGUCCUGCCUGCCCAGUGACAAUAGUUUAACGGCCGCGGUAUCCUGACCGUGCGAAGGUAGCGCAAUCACUUGUCUUUUAAAUAAGGACCUGUAUGAAUGGCAAAACGAGGGCUUAACUGUCUCCCUUUACAAGUCAGUGAAAUUGACCUGCCCGUGCAGAUGCGGACAUAAUAAUACAAGACGAGAAGACCCUUUGGAGCUUAAGACAUAAGCCAACUAUGUUAAUAGCCUAUUUAAAUAGGCUAAACUGUAACACUGGCCUCAGUCUUCGGUUGGGGCGACCACGGAGUAAAACAAAACCUCCACGCGGAUAGGGAAUAUCCUAAAACCAAGAGAGACAUCUCCAAGUCACAGAACAUCUGACCAAAUAGAUCCGGCCUCCCGGCCGAUCAACGAACCAAGUUACCCAAGGGAUAACAGCGCAAUCCCCUUUCAGAGUCCCUAUCGACAAGGGGGUUUACGACCUCGAUGUUGGAUCAGGACAUCCUAAUGGUGCAGCCGCUAUUAAGGGUUCGUUUGUUCAACGAUUAAAGUCCUACGUGAUCUGAGUUCAGACCGGAGAAAUCCAGGUCAGUUUCUAUCUGUAACAUCCCCUUUUCUAGUACGAAAGGACCGAAAAGAGAGGGCCCAUACCACAAGCACGCCCUAUCCUAACUUAAUGAAAACAACUAAAAUAAAUAAAAGGAAGAUAAACACUUAACCAAGAUAAGGUUC
This 1657-nucleotide ribosomal RNA is filed under the name Gymnotus sylvius. RNAcentral's name for it is "16S ribosomal RNA". The stretch from base 95 to 1550 matches the Rfam family "Bacterial large subunit ribosomal RNA". Lineage: Eukaryota; Metazoa; Chordata; Actinopteri; Gymnotiformes; Gymnotidae. The record is from RNAcentral.